CAUAGCUUCUACUGUCCUGGACCUUUUCCCAAGAUUUCUGGAUACACCUGGCUUGAUUGACCAAGACUUCACAAUGCUGUUUUUUGGGGAGGAAGUGUCUGGUAAGUUCCUUGCAAAGUGGCCAACAUUCUUCAAGCCAAGGAUCAUCAAAGAUUGCAAAAAUCUGUCCCAGAGUACAGAAUUGGAUGAGCUGCUCAUUUCUGCACAGCGUUACUCUAACGAGGCUGUUUGGGACUGCGAGGCGGCUGCCAUCUUUUGCUGCUUCACUUCACUCCAACAUCUAAGGGAAGGACGUCUUCAAAGAUUAGCACAUCAGAUGCUGCUCACCACCUAAUGAAAUUCAUCAAGGUGGGAGGUAGCACAGAGGCUUUUCUUAAGGCUGGCCCCACUCAGCCAUUCGUCCUGUGGGUUGGAGAAAGAAAGAACAUC
Long non-coding RNA from Maylandia zebra (zebra mbuna), 429 nucleotides. RefSeq lists it as uncharacterized. The record is from RefSeq and is a predicted model, not a curated record. NCBI's taxonomy places the organism in Eukaryota, Metazoa, Chordata, Actinopteri, Cichliformes, Cichlidae.